This 449-nucleotide ribosomal RNA is filed under the name uncultured bacterium. RNAcentral's name for it is "partial 16S ribosomal RNA". It matches the Rfam family "Bacterial small subunit ribosomal RNA", at positions 29 to 523 of the family's 1533-position model. The record is from RNAcentral.
AACGAACGCUGGCGGCAGGCUUAACACAUGCAAGUCGAACGCAUCCUUCGGGGUGAGUGGCAGACGGGUGAGUAACGCGUGGGAACGUGCCCUUCAGUUCGGGAUAACCCAGGGAAACUUGGGCUAAUACCGGAUACGUGCGAGAGCAGAAAGAUUUAUCGCUGAAGGAUCGGCCCGCGUCUGAUUAGCUAGUUGGUGGGGUAAUGGCCCACCAAGGCGACGAUCAGUAGCUGGUCUGAGAGGAUGAUCAGCCACAUUGGGACUGAGACACGGCCCAAACUCCUACGGGAGGCAGCAGUGGGGAAUAUUGCACAAUGGACGAAAGUCUGAUGCAGCGACGCCGCGUGAAGGAUGAAGGCCUUCGGGUUGUAAACUUCUUUUAUAUGGGAAGAUUAUGACGGUACCAUAUGAAUAAGCUCCGGCUAACUACGUGCCAGCCGCCGCCGUAA